AUGGAUAAUACAAAUCAUAACAUCAUUGUGUGGAACAUUCGUGGGCUCAACAAUGCGGCUAGGGGCGCAACCUUGAGAAGCGUCGUUGAGGAGGCGGCGGCCUCGGUGGUGUGCAUCCUUGAAUCCAAGCUAGAGGUGGUGGAUCAACGCGUGAUUACCUUCCUGUUGGGCAUGAAAUUUGAUGCGUACGUGGCACUACCUGCGCAGGGCACG
RNAcentral lists this ribosomal RNA (213 nucleotides) under Triticum aestivum (bread wheat). RNAcentral describes it as "partial small subunit ribosomal RNA". The record is from RNAcentral. Lineage: Eukaryota; Viridiplantae; Streptophyta; Magnoliopsida; Poales; Poaceae.